Molecule: ribosomal RNA, 434 nt
Filed under: uncultured bacterium
Lineage: Bacteria
Description: partial 16S ribosomal RNA
Rfam family: Bacterial small subunit ribosomal RNA
Source: RNAcentral
AUCGAACGCUGGCGGCAGGCCUAACACAUGCAAGUCGAACGAACCUUUCGGGGUUAGUGGCGGACGGGGGAGUGACACGGGGGAACGUGCCUUUAGGUUCGGAAUAACUCAGGGGAACUUGUCCUAAUACGGACGGUGCUCUUCCGGGGAAAGAGUUAUCGCCUUUAGAGCGGCCUGGGACUGCUUAGCUUGUUGGUUGAGGAAAUGGCUCUCGAAGGCGAGGUUCAGUAGCUGGUCCGAGAGGCUGGUCCGCCAAAUUGGGAGUGAGACACGGCCCAAAAUACUACGGGAGGGAGCAGUGGGGAAUCUAGCGAAAUGGGGUAUAGGCUGACGCAGCCAUGCCGGGUAAAUGAUGAAGGUCUUAGGAAAGUGAAAUUCUUUCACAGGUGGCGAUAAUGACGGUACCCGGAGAAGAAGCACCGGCUAACUUCGUG